RNAcentral lists this long non-coding RNA (440 nucleotides) under Erythranthe guttata (spotted monkey flower). Its description in RNAcentral is "long non-coding RNA (EGUT_LNC001475)". The record is from RNAcentral. Lineage: Eukaryota; Viridiplantae; Streptophyta; Magnoliopsida; Lamiales; Phrymaceae.
CCAAUAUCCCUAAUUCUCAAAUCGACAGAAAGUAUAUCUUCUCACACCGCCAUCGAAGGGAGAAACUGCAAAAAACUCAUCUCUCGUACUCUUUCAAUUUACCCAAUACCCCUAAUUCACAGAUCGACGAAGAACCUGUAAUUCUGCAAACCGCCACCAAAGGGAAAGAUCUGCAAAUCUCGUCAAAUUGAAACACGCAAAACUCUCCCCCCCUUUCGUUCAACUCAAACUCUGUAAUCAUAGCACCUUAUUGUUGAGAUCGAUGGAGAGUCUGUAGGUUUGGAAACCGAGAAGAUGUACAGGUCAUUUGCUAUAUAUAUAUAUAUAUAUAUAUAUAUUUAAAUCGCGAUUCAUUGACGAAAUACAAUGGGUGUUUUUAUGAAUGAAGUGAAAGACACAGAUUUGGAGCCUACGACCCCAGGUAAUAACUUCGAUUUCUG